UUGACCUCAGAUCAGGUAGGACUACCCGCUGAACUUAAGCAUAUCAUAG
RNAcentral lists this ribosomal RNA (49 nucleotides) under uncultured fungus. Its description in RNAcentral is "partial 28S ribosomal RNA". The record is from RNAcentral. Lineage: Eukaryota; Fungi.